Molecule: ribosomal RNA, 464 nt
Filed under: uncultured bacterium
Lineage: Bacteria
Description: partial 16S ribosomal RNA
Rfam family: Bacterial small subunit ribosomal RNA
Source: RNAcentral
GACGAACGCUGGCGGCGUGCUUAACACAUGCAAGUCGAACGGAAAGGCCCUGCUUGCAGGGUACUCGAGUGGCGAACGGGUGAGUAACACGUGGGUGAUCUGCCCUGCACUUCGGGAUAAGCCUGGGAAACUGGGUCUAAUACCGGAUAGGAGCCAUUUUUAGUGUGAUGGUUGGAAAGUUUUUUCGGUGUAGGAUGAGCUCGCGGCCUAUCAGCUUGUUGGUGGGGUAAUGGCCUACCAAGGCGGCGACGGGUAGCCGGCCUGAGAGGGUGGACGGCCACAUUGGGACUGAGAUACGGCCCAGACUCCUACGGGAGGCAGCAGUGGGGAAUAUUGCACAAUGGGCGCAAGCCUGAUGCAGCGACGCCGCGUGGGGGAUGACGGCCUUCGGGUUGUAAACUCCGUUCGCUAGGGACGAAGCUUUUUGUGACGGUACCUAGAUAAGAAGCACCGGCUAACUACGU